This 648-nucleotide long non-coding RNA is filed under the name Bos indicus x Bos taurus (hybrid cattle). RNAcentral's name for it is "lncRNA (ENSBIXG00000001197.1)". Lineage: Eukaryota; Metazoa; Chordata; Mammalia; Artiodactyla; Bovidae. The record is from RNAcentral.
GUCCCACCCCUUUCUGUGCUCUCCGAUACCGAUACCCACGCUGGGAAAGACUGGGGGCUCACGGAGAAGCUGGCGAGGAGGAGGAGAUGGUUGGAUGGCAUCCCAGACUGGUACACAGACUCAGUGUGUGCACUGUACAACCUCUGUGUGUACAGGUUGGGUGUACACACAGAGAAGUACAUUUGAGUUCUGUUUGCCUGCUUCUUGCUUUCAUCCUGUCCUCCUCUGGGAUGGAAGAACGCUAAAACUUCCUCUGCAGAGCCUGCGGCCAAGACCAGCAGGGCGGCUCCUUCUGUGCGCUCAGCCGCUCCUGGGAGGAUACGCAUUCUCCUGGUUAAGAAGACAGUGGUUGAAGGCAGGAGGCAUCUUGGUGAUGACAGCCCUCACGUGUCCGUCCCUCUGGUCACACUGCGUUCAGGGCAGCGUGGAGGCUGCAGGAGUAUCCUGCGGCCCGUCACAGGAGGCCAGUCAAAGCCCAGCAGUAUCCUGCGGCCCGUCACAGGAGGUCAGUCAAAGCCCUCUGCGGUUGGGGAGGAUCUGCUCAUUUGCUCAUCAGAUGGUAAAGCUUCUUGUAGAUGCUGCCUCUAGCUUUUAAAUUAAAUCAUCUGUGCCUUUCUUUUUUUAAAGUGGAUUUAUUUUUAAUGGGGG